GACGAACCGUCCUAACGUUGUUCGGAAUCACUGGGCUUAAAGGGCGCGUAGGCGGGCAUGCAAGUCCGGGGUGAAAGCUUUCGGCUUAACCGGAAAAGGGCCUUGGAUACUGCCAUGACUAGAGGUCGGUAGGGGAGUGUGGAAUUCCUGGUGGAGCGGUGAAAUGCGCAGAUAUCAGGAAGAACACCCGUGGCGAAGGCGGCUCUCUGGAACGCAACUGACGCUGAGACGCGAAAGCGUGGGGAGCAAACAGG
Molecule: ribosomal RNA, 254 nt
Filed under: uncultured bacterium
Lineage: Bacteria
Description: partial 16S ribosomal RNA
Rfam family: Bacterial small subunit ribosomal RNA
Source: RNAcentral